CAUGCUCAGCAUUAGGUACCAUCAGCUUGCUCUCUAUAUAGUUUUUAUAGGAUUUUCCCUUUAAUUUUCCUAGGUAUAUUUGGAUUCAGGCUUCUUAGCAUUUGCCUUUCUGUGGUUAAAACCUCAUUAGGCUCCUAUCAUAUUUCAAACUAAAUAGAAUAUCCUGACUAAAAUGUCAGUGACAUUUUUGUAAUGGCUGUGACUGAAAGAAGCUAAAAUACUGGUUGUAAUUUAUUUAUAUAGCAUGCAAAGGUCUUAGGUGAUUUAGAGGGAAGUCUAAAGACAAACAAUCCUUCUGAUCAUAUAAUAGCGUAUUCUCAGAUUAUUUUAGCUUCAUCAGAAGACUUUUAGUUGGCGUGAGCAGUGUCAGAGCUGGAUUAAAAGUCACAGUAUGGUGAUACUCACUAUUCCUAGCCCUGUUCUUCAGAUCCAUACAAAACCAGUUACUGGUUUCAAUGGGUGAUCUGUUGUGCAUUGCUUUCUCACUACAAGAUUCUAUCAAAAUCUUUUCAAAAAAGAUAAAAGGAGCAGCAUGUUCUAGGGCAUUUCUAUUUUGAUGAGUCUCAAAUUUAAAUAUCUAACUUCAGCUUCCGGGUUUAAAGGAGAUGGACUUUUUUUUUUUUUUUUCUUAGCAAAGUGAAAAUUCAAAUGCUAAAUCACAAUCAGCCAAGCCUGUCACUGCCAAAUUAGGGAUGACAAGUAUACCCUGCUGUGUGUAAUUCCAGAGAGAUGUUUUCAGAUAUGAAUUUGGCGUUCAAGAAAGGCAUGAUUUCUUUGUAGCUUUCCUGUCACAUUCACUUUGUAAUACAGUGAUUACUGAGCAUUCAAAAAUAAGUGGUUACCCCAAAAUAUUUUUUGCACUCAAUUUAUUGGUGUGUGCAGCACAGCUGUGUGUUGAUAACCUGUAAUAGUGCAAAAUACUGGAAACUUGAACAGCAGAAUCAGAUAAACCUAGAGAUUAAUCAAGUGCUGUGCUAAUCAAUUUUUUAUAUUUAAUUAAAGUGUUUUGCUUUGGAAGGUUGCUGUGAGAGCUGCAGAAUUUCCAUUCCCAUCCCAGGAGAUGGAUACCAAACCCAGCCAACCCACCAGCCAAUGGUACAGAGAGAGGGCUGGUAGGUGUCACAGGGAGCUGGAGCUGCCACAGCUGAUGAUGGAGCAUGGAGAAGGCUGGGAUACACUUAUGUCUCUUCUUUUCUGAACUGAUGAAUUAGUAAA
Non-coding RNA from Taeniopygia guttata (zebra finch), 1215 nucleotides. NCBI's taxonomy places the organism in Eukaryota, Metazoa, Chordata, Aves, Passeriformes, Estrildidae. The record is from RefSeq and is a predicted model, not a curated record.